This 253-nucleotide ribosomal RNA is filed under the name uncultured bacterium. RNAcentral's name for it is "partial 16S ribosomal RNA". It matches the Rfam family "Bacterial small subunit ribosomal RNA", at positions 524 to 776 of the family's 1533-position model. The record is from RNAcentral.
UACGGAGGGUGCAAGCGUUAUCCGGAUUUAUUGGGGUUAAAGGGUCCGUAGGCGGAUCUGUAAGUCAGUGGUGAAAUCUCACAGCUUAACUGUGAAACUGCCAUUGAUACUGCAGGUCUUGAGUGUUAUUGAAGUAGCUGGAAUAAGUAGUGUAGCGGUGAAAUGCAUAGAUAUUACUUAGAACACCAAUUGCGAAGGCAGGUUACUAAGCAACAACUGACGCUGAUGGACGAAAGCGUGGGGAGCGAACAGG